Molecule: long non-coding RNA, 1009 nt
Filed under: Homo sapiens (human)
Lineage: Eukaryota; Metazoa; Chordata; Mammalia; Primates; Hominidae
Description: HSALNT0345463
Source: RNAcentral
CUCGGUCACCCAGGAUAGAGUGCAGUGGUGAGAUCAUGGCUCACAGCAGCCUCGACCUCAUGGGCUCCAGCAAUCUUCCUACCUCAACGGCCCAAGUAGCUGAGACCAUAAGCAUGUGCCACCAGGCCUGGCUGCCUCGUUUUAACUUAAUCAUCUGUUUACAAACUUAUUUCUAAAUAUGGUUAUACCGUUUUUUGUUGUUGUUGAUUGUUUUUUUUUUUUUUUUUUUUUUUUUGAGAUAGAGUCUUACUCUGUAGCCCAGGCUGGAGUGCAGUGGCACCAUCUCUGCUCACUGCAACCUCCACCUCCCAGGUUCAAGCAAUUCUCCUGCCUCAGCCUCUCAAGUAGCUUGGAUUACAGGCACCCACCACCACGCCCAGCUAAUUUUUGUAUUUUAGUAGAGACGGGGUUUCGCCAUGUGGGCCAGGCUGGUCUCGAAUUCCUGACCUCAGACAGCAAGACCCCCCGCAAGACAGCAAGACCCAACUCUCUUCUUUCUCUUCCUCCUCAUCCUACUCAACAUGAAGAUGACAAGGAUGAAGACCUUCAUGAUGGUCCACUUCACUUAAUGAAUAGUAAAUAGUAAAUUUUCUCUUCCUCAUGAUGUUUGAAAUAAUAUUUUCUUUUCUCUAGCUUAUUUUAUUGUAACAAUACAGUAUACUAUACACACACAAAAUAUGUGUUAAUCAACUGUUUAUGUUAUUGGUAAGGCUUAUGGUUAACAGUGGGCUCUUAAUAGCUACACUGUGGUGGAGUCAAAAGUUAUAUACAGGGUCUCGACUGUCUGGGGGUUCGGUGCCCCUAAUCUCUGCAUUGUUCAAGGGACAACCACAGUGUUAUUUCUGUUAGACAUGUGUCAGCACCCUAUGCUGUUACUGUGACUUGCUAUUUUUUUAAAUCUCCCUUGUAACUGUAGGAUAACUCUCUGUAUAACUCUAGUGAAUCCCCAGUAAGUGCAAAUUAAAAUGGUGACCUGUAUCUUUAAAGAAAAUUAAAUCUUUAUACAUGC